Molecule: ribosomal RNA, 304 nt
Filed under: uncultured bacterium
Lineage: Bacteria
Description: bacterial SSU rRNA
Rfam family: Bacterial small subunit ribosomal RNA
Source: RNAcentral
ACUCCUACGGGAGGCAGCAGUGGGGAAUAUUGCACAAUGGGGGAAACCCUGAUGCAGCCAUGCCGCGUGUGUGAAGAAGGCCUUCGGGUUGUAAAGCACUUUCAGUAGGGAGGAAGGUAGUGUAGUACACCUGCAUUAUUUGACGUUACCUACAGAAGAAGCACCGGCUAACUCCGUGCCAGCAGCCGCGGUAAUACGGAGGGUGCGAGCGUUAAUCGGAAUUACUGGGCGUAAAGCGCAUGCAGGCGGCCUGUUAAGUCAGAUGUGAAAGCCCGGGGCUUAACCUCGGAAUUGCAUUUGAAAC